CUCAGCUUGCUGGCACUAGUGGGUCUCGGUGCUUGUUCAGUCCUGCCUCUGUGGGUGACGGCAGGGUCAGAGAAAGAGAUGCUAAAGCACGCAGGAUGGAGAGCCCAAAAGCCAUCCUUGAAGCCUGGAAUCUCUCAAUGUCCCAUCCAGGGCCCUGACCAGGUUCCCCCGGGGAUCUGGAAAGGUCACAGAGGCCAGAGGCCAGAGGAGUCGGAAGUAUUGGUGCCACCUAUGGCCGAAAGAGAAUUUGGCAUCAUAACAGCAGUCACUCCUGGGCAAGCAGGGGACUUCCAGGGUGGGCUCAUCGCUCUUCGGGAAAGGAUGGUGAACUCAGUCAAGCACAUCGCUUCUGCUUUGUGCCAGAAGUAAUGAUUAAGAAUACUGGUCUGGACUCUGUCUCUUGACCAGUCUGUCAUGUGAAAGAUAAGUAACAUCAGCUUUUGCCUUUCACGGGUCAGUGGAACAGGGUGGGUGGAAGCCCUGGGGACUCAAGUUCCCCAGGAUGGUGCAUUCCAGCCUUCUCUUCCUAGGAACAAAUUAAUGCCUGGCCACACAAUAGUUUCCAGGCUCUGGGAUUACAAGGGAGUGAUCACAAGGGAGUCAAGACUCCCUCUUUCAAAAGGAAGGACUAGAAACGAAAAGGAAAGUGGCCAUCCUUGCCUCUUUUCCAAGUUUGUGGCCAUCUUACUUACCCCCCCCCCCCCGUAGUACUGGGCAAAGUUCUACUGGUUAAAGAUUGGGGUGGAGGGCUGGAAAAGAAGUAGUUGGCUUAUCUUUGCCACCCAGGAUCAAAAGCUCAGGCCCCUCCCACUCCGGAGCCUUUACAAGUCUAGACUUAUCCGAAAGGAUGGCACGGAGCAAGGAAGGAUCUAAGUUUGAGUCACCUCUGGGCCGGGCCAAGUGUGGGCGGGUGCUGCCCUUAGCUAAGCUCCCGAUGCUGGUUACUACCUCUGCGCGCUCCUCUCAAGCGGCAGCGGCAGCGGGGAGUUCUCACCCCAUCCUAACAGUGACCAAAUCUCACGGGGGCCCCUACCGUGAGCCACUGACUGUCCCGCUGGAAACUAGUGUGUGUAAGCCCCUGCUCACCCCACAACCCAACCCGAGCUAAGGGUCGAGAGCAGGCCGGAUGCAGGCAAGCAGUGGCCUUUCUCACCUAUUGGAUCGGAAGGUUAGUCCCCUGACUCUGGGGUCCGGUUAAAUGUCGAGCGACACUCAAAACCAAACAAGUCUCUCCGUCUCGCAGGUUUCUCCGUCCAUACUCUGUCGCAGAAGCGGGAGACAGACAACUGCCAGCAACGCGCUACUCCAGUGUCUCCAGCCUCAGGCCGGAGCCCAGACCAGCCGCGUCCCUCCCUCCUCCCUCUAGGGUCCUGUGAGGGUGUCCAGCACGCUCCGCCCAGUCCUGGCCCGGGCCAGUCGCCAGGCACUGCGAUCACCCCCGACCCACCAAUCCUAUCCCUUCCCCUCGCGGCUUGAAGGACCUCCGGAGGUGAGAGAGAGGAGGGCUGCCAGCAGGCGUUGCUGGAGGAACCCGGAGAAAAGUUUGGAGCCAAGUAGGGGGAAAACGGUGGACAGCAGGGGAGCAGGGAGUCGGGACAGCCCAGGUCCUAGCGCGCGCACAUGCCCCACGGACACCCAACCCAGACACGUCGACAGGCACAGACCACGUAAGCGGACACACGCGGAGAGCCCACCGACCCCCACGACCAAACGCCAGGCUGUGAAAAACGGGGACACCGGCGCGAGACAGCCAUGCAAAGCCACGCACACACAAAGGCACAAGCAGAUGCUGGUUUCUGAACCCAAAUCCAUAAAAGACCCACUACCGUGAGAUGCACGUGUUCCUGCAAAGACCCUGGAGGCGCUGGUCCACGCCCAUGGCCCCCAGGCAGAGCCUUUGUCUCCUGAAAGCCCUCUCCCCUACUCCCCCCACCCUGCGCUGCUGUGGCCGGGUGUCCCGGAAAAGUUGAGGGGCCUCGGCGGGACCCGGACCCGCCCCUCGCGCCAGCCGGUCCACGGGAUGGGGCGGCGAGGUUGGACUCAAAGGCUCCAGAUCUCCGCAUGCACGCCGAUCUCUUUGCGCCUCGGGACAGCACCCACCUGGCAGGUCCACAGCUGUCGCCUCGGCACGCUCACCUAGGCGGCCCGGCGCUGGCCGGUGGGCCGGCGCUUUUCUCCGCGCCUCACGUCCCGCCCCAAGUCCCCGCCCGCCGCCGGGCUCCCCUUGCCGGGCACCCAGUGACUGCUGCGGCUCUCGGCCAAGAGGCUCAGGGAGCGUCGUCAAAGUGCAAGUUUAGUGGGGCGGUCUGGCAGCCCAGCCCCCGCCCGCCGGCGGAGCACGGGUUCCACCCUAGGGAGCGUCUCAAAAGUGCUCGGUUCCCUCCCACUACACUAGGCCUCUCUUCCAGCUUCCUGCAACCCGGAUCCCUGCCCCCUCUGCCUUCCCACUUUGCACGUCCCAGUAAUCUCAGCAGAUGGCCGCUGGGUCGAGAACAUCUGGAGGUCACCGGGGAGGGGUGUGUGUGUGUGUGUGUGUGUGUGUGUGUGUGUGUGUGUGUGUGUGUGUGUGUGUGUAGAGCGAGUCAGAGUUAGUUAGAAUGGGUGGAUAAGGGUUUUCUCUCAAAGUCUCUACCAUCCCAUUUGAAAAAAAGUUUUAAAAGGGGUCUAGAGUCAUUAAUGUAUGUGUUUGAGAGACAGACCGACAGACAGACAGAAGGGAGAGAGAGCUUAAGCAGAAAGUUGGCAGACAGCAAGUGACAGAGAGAGCAACAGACAUAACAGACUUAUUUUUUCUUUCCUGGAGGGAAAGUCAACUCCUGGCUGCAUUUCCAAGAAGGGAAACUGCUCUGUCGUAGCAGCUUAAGUCUUCCCCUCCUUCUGCAGCCCAUCCUCUCCAGCCGAAAUUUAUCCAAGAAUAUACAUACAUACAUACACACACACACACAUACACAUACGUACAUACUCACAAUCCCAACCUCCAGAGGGAGCAUUUCCCAAUAAAGGGUUAGUGGGAGGUUUGGUAUUGGUUCUGGACCUCCCAGGAACUUGCCUCUUUGGAAAGGGUCCCUAGGUGGGGGAAAUCCAGCAACGUUCCCCUGCCAUGGCCCAGGCUUGUUGCAUCCAACCUUUUUGUUUCUUUCUUCCUUAUUUAAAAACAAAAUCUUUGCUUGGGCUUGUGUGUGUGUGUGGCUGAGGAAAAGAGAGUUCUUGGUCUGUAAAAUCAAACUCAUACUCAGAAGAAUAUGGUUGUUAAGACCCUUUCCUUGCUCACAGCCAUAGAGAAACCCUGGGGUCUCACCUGGGCUGAACCCUGCUAGUUAAGGGGAGGGGGCAGUGGUCCCUGUCUGUAAGCUUCCCUGUUACCCCAGUUCUGGGGAGACAGAGGUAGAACAACUCCAUUUUUAGACAGUCUAGCUACAGAGUGAGACUCUCUCAAAGAGCCAAAAGAAGAAAAGAAAAAAGAAUCCCAUCCUCUGGGCUUGGAAAUAAGAGGUCUCGGGGGAUAUUCUCACUGUGGCCUCCUCAUCUGAGACUGCAUUCAUGUGGGCAAGGUCACCCUUCCAGAUGGGCUGCAGGAACCUGCUGAAAGUCUGAACUCCUAUAGAGUGGGGAUACAAGGGAAAUGGUGCAGGGCUGGCGAAAGAAUUCACAGUUAGAUCAAAGUAGAAAAAAAAGUUUACUGAACACACUGGGAAAAUUCAGGGGGGGCCAAAAAAAGAACCACCUGUCUGCAGUUACUCUCUUUCUUUUUAAAAAAUUAAAAUUAUAUUUAUUUCUUUGUGCGGGGGUGUAAUAUACCUAUAUGUGUGGAGGUCAGAGGACAGCUCGUGGGGUGUCAGUCUCUCCUUCCGCCAUGUAGGUUCCAGGGAUGAAACUUAGGUCACCAGGUUUGAGGGAAAAUUCCUUUACUCGUUGAGCCAUCUAGCUUCCUUGACUAGGAUGACCCGCCAUACAAUUCCCAUCAUUCUGUUCCUACCAUCCAAACGAUAACAGUUCUGAUUGCUCAGUGUUCGAUGCCAGGAGGAGGCUGACUUUAGAGAGAGCAGCUCUGUGGCCUUCUGUCAAGGUUAAUUGUGAUUGUCCACGUUCACUUGGUGGGAAAGAGUCUGGUUUAGGGCUUUAAUUAUCUUGAUGAUCAUUAAUGGGUUGGUGGUUGGUUCCUGAGAUGUAACAUACUAGGCAAGAUAAUGUGUCUCAGGGCCUAAUAAACAUUUAUCUGAAGGAAUGGCCUCUUCUACAUAGGACUUUAAAUGUGCCUGAGAUGUUCAGGAGUGAUAGGAGACCUUAGGAAUGCCACCGGGAGGAGAGUUAGCAAGGACUGUUGAGUUUCUUGUAUUAAAUUAUUAAGGAGCCUCUA
Molecule: long non-coding RNA, 4357 nt
Organism: Mesocricetus auratus (golden hamster)
Lineage: Eukaryota; Metazoa; Chordata; Mammalia; Rodentia; Cricetidae
Exons: 2
Source: RefSeq, a predicted model, not a curated record